Molecule: microRNA precursor, 95 nt
Filed under: Marmota monax (woodchuck)
Lineage: Eukaryota; Metazoa; Chordata; Mammalia; Rodentia; Sciuridae
Source: RNAcentral
GUGUGUGCGCGUGUGUGUGUGUGUGUGUAUAUAUAUAUAUAUAUAUAUAUUAUGUUUAUAUAUAUAUAUAUAUAUACACACACACACACAUAUGU